This is a long non-coding RNA of Dama dama (fallow deer), 1461 nucleotides long. RefSeq lists it as uncharacterized. The transcript is spliced from 3 exons. The record is from RefSeq and is a predicted model, not a curated record. NCBI's taxonomy places the organism in Eukaryota, Metazoa, Chordata, Mammalia, Artiodactyla, Cervidae.
GCCUAGAUAAAAAGAAUGUGCUGGGUCAUGGGAUGGGAUCACAGUUCUGUGAGACUGGGAUAUUACUGUCUACUGAGGCAGAGGGUUUUGAGGAUGACAGAGGCUGUGUAGAGAGGGACUGAAACUUGUUUAUCACUGUGCUGUGAAUACGGUGCCUGCAAACACCGAGGCCUCAGAAAACGUCUGUGGCAUGAAUGGAGUGUAAUGUAUCACAUACCAAAGGCUCCCAGCCUCACCCAGGAUGCUAUAGGCAACAAAUACCUACCAAGUGGGGCUUCCCUUGUAGCUCAGCUGAUAAAGAAUCUACCUGCAAUGCAGGAGACCCCGGUUCAAUUCCUGGGUUGGGAAGAUCCCCUGGAGAAGGGGUAGGUUAUCCACUCCGGUAUUCUUGGACUUCCCUGGUGGCUCAGACGGUAAAGAAUCUGCCUGCAAUGCAGAAGACCUGGGUUCGAUCUCUGGGCUGGGAAGAUCCCCUGGAGGAGGGCAUGGCAACCCUUAUUCUUCCCUAGAGAAUCCCCAUGGACAGAGGAGCCUGGCAGGCUACAGUCCAUAGGGUCGCAAAGAGUCAGGCCCGACUGAGGACAGCAUAGAGGAGUUAUUAAUAAUAAGAAAGCGCCGAGUCUACAGCUUCAGCAAGCAGAGGUGUAGUCUUCCAGAUAAAAUUUCUAAAGUCACAAAAGGCAGUAUUUGACCCUGUUGUCACAGGUCUCAAAACAGUGUUUUUAUUGAUAACCCUUAAAACUGAUGGUCAGCGCUAUACCUGCACUGGCAUAAAUACAGUUCCUACUGAUGAGCUACCCUGUGGAUGAAACCAGUCAAGUUUUAUGCCCAUUUGUUUCCUUGUAUGGACUGCGGAAACCAGUUUUCAUUCAAAGGGACAUCAACUUCAAAGUUAUCUUUGGAAAUGAAUUCGAAGUGCUUGAGUUAAAUGGUAAUAGCUUCUAAUUUGGUAAAAACAGAAACAUGAUCAAUGUAAUUUUUUUUUCUAAAUAUUCAGUGCAUUUUCUCAGAGACAGGCAUUCAGAACAGAGUUUGUGUUUCAGACCCCCAGUUUAAUUUGCAUUUGAAAAGAAAACAGCAUGUCCUAAACCAAGGUCAGUUAAUCUCUACAAUCUUUCUUCCUUCCAAUUACUGUGAAUGAGCAUCUUCUCAGGACGCAAGCGAUGGUGACUCUGGUUUCUGCUACUAAAGACAUGUCUCAGCUCCGCAGAUUUUUUUUUUUUUUUUUUGGCUGUACAAUGGAAUUCGGAUGCAUUUUAAAUUAACUUUCUCUAGGAAUCAAAGAGUAACCUCUAGAGACCCCAGCUUGCUCAAAGAGGAUUGAGAAGAUCAUUCCAAAGCCUCUUCUUGUUGAGCUGAUCCAAGCGUUUAGAGGACAUAACAGGAGUCAGCCAUCCCAUUCUUUGUGAAAAGUCCGACCACAGUGGAGCAUCUGCAAUGGCAUUCAGUCAGGCAACUGGC